UACGGGGGGAGCAAGCGUUGUUCGGAUUUACUGGGCGUAAAGGGCGCGUAGGCGGCCAGCACAAGUCAGUUGUGAAAUCUCCGAGCUUAACUCGGAACGGUCAACUGAUACUGUGCGGCUAGAGUGCGGAAGGGGCAACUGGAAUUCUUGGUGUAGCGGUGAAAUGCGUAGAUAUCGAGAGGAACACCUGCGGCGAAGGCGGGUUGCUGGGCUGAUACUGACGCUGAGGCGCGAAAGCCAGGGGAGCGAACGGG
RNAcentral lists this ribosomal RNA (254 nucleotides) under uncultured bacterium. Its description in RNAcentral is "partial 16S ribosomal RNA". It matches the Rfam family "Bacterial small subunit ribosomal RNA", at positions 524 to 776 of the family's 1533-position model. The record is from RNAcentral.